UCAAGAGUAUACGGCGGAUGCCUUGGCACAAAAAGCCGAUGAAGGACGUGAUAGUCUGCGAUAAGCUUCGGAUAGCUGGCAAUAAGCGUUUUAAUCCGGAGAUUUCCGAAUGGGGAAACCCUUCUGUAGUCAUGUACAGAAAUUAUAUGCUGAAUACAUAGGCAUAUGAAAGGUAAGCCAGUGAAGUGAAACAUCUCAGUAACUGGAAGAAAGUAUAUCAAAUGAUAUUCCCUAAGUAGUGGCGAGCGAAAGGGGAAGAGCCCAAACUCUAUUAUAGGAAGAGAUUACCAAUCCUGCGUUGUAGGAGCGGUUUUUAAUUCAUUCAUACAGGAACUGUUGUAAUAGAGUGUUGUAGGACAUAAUGUCUAUACACUGUAAAGUAUAGGAUCAAGUUACAAAAAUCAUCUUUAGCAGAAAACUGUUGGAAAGCAGUACCAAAGGGGGUAAUAGUCCCGUACGUGAAAAGGAUGGUUCUUGAUGAUUAUGUUCCUGAGUACCACGGUCUAGGAGAAAUUCCGUGGGAACCUGCCAGAACCACCUGGUAAGGCUAAAUACUUUUUGUGACCGAUAGUGAACUAGUACCGUGAGGGAAAGGUGAAAAGUACCCCUGUUAGGGGAAUGAAAUAGUACCUGAAACCGUAUACUUACAAACAGUAGAAGCCGCGUAUAUGCUUGCAUAUCGCGUGGUGACUGCGUGCCUAUUGAAGAAUGAGCCUGCGAGUUACCCUGAAAGGCUUGGUUAAGUCACUCUGUGAUGUAGCCAUAGCGAAAGCGAGUUUUAAAAGGCGAUUGUCUUUCAGGUUAGACCCGAAGCCAGGUGAUCUAUCCAUGAGCAGGUUGAACCACCUCGAAAGAGGUGGGGAGGACCGAACCCGUGAAUGCUGCAAAAUUCUGGGAUGACUUGUGGAUUGGAGUGACACGCUAAUCGUACUUGGUGAUAGCUGGUUCUCCUCGAAACAGCUUUAGGGUUGGCCUCGGUCGGUAGCAUAUGGAGGUAGAGCUCUGAAUGAAUCGCGGGUCCCGUUAGGGAUACCGCAUUCUCUCAAACUGCGAAUGCCAUAUGUGGAACACCGGGAGUUAGACUACGGGAGAUAAGUUCCGUUGGUCGAAAGGGAAACAGCCCAGACCAUCAGUUAAGGUCCCUAAAUAUAUGCUAAGUGGCAAAGGAUGUGAAAUUUCAUAAACAGCCAGGAGGUUUGCUUAGAGGCAGCCAUCCUUUAAAGAGUGCGUAACAGCUCACUGGUCUAGAAGUUUUGCGCCUAUAAUGUAACGGGGCUCAAGCAUAUUACCGAAACUAUGGAUUUAUUAUCGUGAAGAUAAUAAGUGGUAGAGGAGCGUUGUAUUCAGCAGUGAAGGUGAGCCGUAAGGCCAGCUGGAGCGGAUACAAGUGAGAAUGCAGGCAUGAGUAGCGCAAUUCCGGUGAAAACCCGGGACACCGAAUAUUCAAGGUUUCCUUGGCUAUGUUAAUCAUCCAAGGGUUAGUCGGUCCUAAGCCGAGGCAGAAGUGCGUAGGCGAUGGACAUCAGGUUAAUAUUCCUGAACCGCUUUUAAAUCGUUAUCAACUAUGGGGUGACUGAUUUGGAAAUGUUUUUGAGUCGAUAGGUCGACUUUCAAGUAGUAAGUUAGUUCUGUUUGGUAAAUCCGGCAGAAUGUUUCCUCGAUUCGUCGAGGAUGGAUGCGAGCUAUUACGAGAAGCUGAAAUCUACGGAUGGAAGCAACAUAAACUAUUCAGGUCACAAGAAAAUCCUCUAUGUGAGAGUUAAAGGCGACCGUACCGCAAACCGACACAGGUGAAUUGGUAGAGUAUACCAAGGUGAUCGAGUAACCCCUUGUUAAGGAAUUCGGCAAAUUUAUCCCGUAUCUUUGGUAGAAGGGAUGCCCACUAUUAUUCGUAAUGGUGGGUCGCAGAGAAAUAGCCCAAUCGACUGUUUAACAAAAACACAGGUCCCUGCUAAAGCGCAAGCUGACGUAUAGGGGCUGACGCCUGCCCAAUGUCAGAAGAUUACGGAAGGAGGUUAUCCCGCCCUCAGAACUCUUUAUAGAGUCUUGAGGGCGGGAGAAGCUUCUGACCUAAGUCCUGAUGAAUGGCGGCUGUAACUAUAACGGUCCUAAGGUAGCGAAGUUCCUCGGCGCUUAAUAGGCGUCCCGCAUGAAAGGCGUAACGAGUUGGGCACUGUCUCAACAGGGGACUCGGCGAACAUUGAAAUGGCUGUGAAGAUGCGGCCUACCCGCACCAGGACAAAAAGACCCCGGGAUCUUUACUGUAGCUUGGCAUUGAAACAAUGCUUUCAUUGUAGAGUGUAGGAGGGAGACUUUGAAACCCGCUCGCCAGAGUGGGUGGAGUCGCCAAUGUAACACCUCCCUUUGUGUGUGUUGUUUCUUAUCCCAGCCCCUGAUCGGGGUGGGAGACAGUGUUUGGUGGGCAGUUUGACUGGGGCGGUUUCUUACUAAAAAGUAACGUAAGAUUCCAAAGGUCGACUCAAGCUGGAUGGAAAUCAGCUGUAGAGCAUAAUGGUAUAAGUCGGCUUUACUGCAAGACUGACAGGUCGAGCAGUCACGAAAGUGGGGCAUAGUGACCCUUAAGUAGCGUGUGGAAGCGCUUUUGUUUAAAGGAUAAAAGUUACCCCGGGGAUAACAGGCUGGUCUUGCCCAAGCGUCCAUAGCGACGGCAAGGUUCGGCACCUCGAUGUCGGCUCGUCGCAUCCUGGAGGUGGAGAAGCUUCCAAGGGUUGGGCUGUUCGCCCAUUAAAGCGGCACGCGAGCUGGGUUCAAACCGACGUGAGUCAGGUUGGUCUCUAUCCGGUGUGGGCGUUAGAAUUCUGAGGGAUCCGACCUUCAGUACGAGAGGACCAAGGUGAAGUAACCUCUGGUGCACCAGUUGUUCCACCAGGAGCAUAGCUGGGUAGCCAAGUUGCUAUUAGGAUAAACGCUGAAAGCAUAUAAGCGUGAAGCCACUCCCAAGAUGAGAAUUCUUCAUCCCGCCCUGAAAGUUUAUAAAUAUCAGAAAUAUUCCAGAAUUGUUAAUUAAAAUAUCUUAUGAUUUUUUAUGUAUAUAUUUUAAAAUCUAAAAAAU
RNAcentral lists this ribosomal RNA (3073 nucleotides) under activated sludge metagenome. Its description in RNAcentral is "bacterial LSU rRNA". It matches the Rfam family "Bacterial large subunit ribosomal RNA". The record is from RNAcentral.